Molecule: ribosomal RNA, 600 nt
Filed under: Enterococcus faecium
Lineage: Bacteria; Bacillati; Bacillota; Bacilli; Lactobacillales; Enterococcaceae
Description: bacterial SSU rRNA
Rfam family: Bacterial small subunit ribosomal RNA
Source: RNAcentral
GCGUGCGGUGCUAUACUGCAGUCGACGCUUCUUUUUCCCCGGAGCUUGCUCCACCGGAAAAAGAGGAGUGGCGAACGGGUGAGUAACACGUGGGUAACCUGCCCAUCAGAAGGGGAUAACACUUGGAAACAGGUGCUAAUACCGUAUAACAAUCAAAACCGCAUGGUUUUGAUUUGAAAGGCGCUUUCGGGUGUCGCUGAUGGAUGGACCCGCGGUGCAUUAGCUAGUUGGUGAGGUAACGGCUCACCAAGGCCACGAUGCAUAGCCGACCUGAGAGGGUGAUCGGCCACAUUGGGACUGAGACACGGCCCAAACUCCUACGGGAGGCAGCAGUAGGGAAUCUUCGGCAAUGGACGAAAGUCUGACCGAGCAACGCCGCGUGAGUGAAGAAGGUUUUCGGAUCGUAAAACUCUGUUGUUAGAGAAGAACAAGGAUGAGAGUAACUGUUCAUCCCUUGACGGUAUCUAACCAGAAAGCCACGGCUAACUACGUGCCAGCAGCCGCGGUAAUACGUAGGUGGCAAGCGUUGUCCGGAUUUAUUGGGCGUAAAGCGAGCGCAGGCGGUUUCUUAAGUCUGAUGUGAAAGCCCCCGGCUCAACC